RNAcentral lists this long non-coding RNA (364 nucleotides) under Elaeis guineensis (African oil palm). RNAcentral describes it as "long non-coding RNA (EGUI_LNC070394)". The record is from RNAcentral. Lineage: Eukaryota; Viridiplantae; Streptophyta; Magnoliopsida; Arecales; Arecaceae.
AAAGUCUUUGGCUAAAGCAAGUGUGAAUACUGAAAAAGAAUUUCUACAGGAUUCACAAAUGAACUUAAGUCAAGCCAAUCUAGCAUAUGACUGAUAAUGGGGUCUGAUGAGUUCUCUAUGACCUCCAUCAAGUCGAGACUCAUGAUAAAAGGACUGAAUCAUAUGAUAACGCACCUAGGAGUUUAUACUUUCAUUCUACUGAGUUACCACUAUAUACUGUUAGGUGUCACUGAUGGAUUGCGAGAUUCAUCGGAUGUCAUCUUGAUGAUCGAUGAACCUCGAAGGGUAGAAUUGAAAAUAUUCCAACCCAUCAAAAAGAGUUUCGAUGAUAUUAUGAUGGAAAUCAUAAUAUAUCUCAUUACCA